GUGGGGAAUAUUGGGCAAUGGGCGAAAGCCUGACCCAGCAACGCCGCGUGAAGGAAGAAGGUCUUCGGAUCAUAAACUUCUAUCCUUGGUGAAGAUAAUGACGGUAGCCGAGAAGGAAGCCCCGGCUAACUACGUGCCAGCAGCCGCGGUAAUACGUAGGGGGCAAGCGUUGUCCGGAAUGAUUGGGCGUAAAGGGGGCGUAGGCGGCCUGGUAAGUCUGGAGUGAAAGUCCUGCUUUUAAGGUGGGAAUUGCUUUGGAUACUGUCGGGCUUGAGUGCAGGAGAGGUAAGUGGAAUUCCCGGUGUAGCGGUGAAAUGCGUAGAGAUCGGGAGGAACACCAGUGGCGAAGGCGACUUACUGGACUGUAACUGACGCUGAGGCGCGAAAGUGUGGGGAGCAAACAGGAUUAGAUACCCCGGUAGUCC
Molecule: ribosomal RNA, 425 nt
Filed under: uncultured bacterium
Lineage: Bacteria
Description: partial 16S ribosomal RNA
Rfam family: Bacterial small subunit ribosomal RNA
Source: RNAcentral